UAAAAGCAUCGCUUGUAUUAUUAUUAUUAUUAUUAUUAUUAUUAUUUUCAGUUCUAUUAAUGCAAUUUUUAGGGUCAUACCACGAAGUAAAGUGCAUAUUGUUAGCAGUGUUACAAGAGGCAAAUGGUGAACAUGUUACAUCAAGUUCUUUGAGGGUGAAGCUAUUAAAUUCCAGUGGCUUCCCUACACAGAAAGUCGGCGUUUCAAAGUGGAACCGAUUACACUUUGUGAAAAGCAAGCUGUCUGUGAUAACAGCAUGGAAAUCCUACAAAGGAACAGUUUGAACCUUCCACGGAUUUCAAGGGGAGAUAGAUGUUUUCAUUCUCGCUUCAACAAGGUAAAAUGUAUUCAGAAGCUUUCCAGUGGGCUUUACAAGUAUCAGCCAUAUCUUCAGUUUGUGCAGCAAAUCUUCCCCAAAGAGGAGACCAAAGUCAAGCAUUUAAUCUACAAAACCAAUCAUCUUGCUCAUAUUGUGGCC
This is a long non-coding RNA of Protopterus annectens (West African lungfish), 478 nucleotides long. RefSeq lists it as uncharacterized. The record is from RefSeq and is a predicted model, not a curated record. The transcript has 3 exons. NCBI's taxonomy places the organism in Eukaryota, Metazoa, Chordata, Ceratodontiformes, Protopteridae.